Molecule: ribosomal RNA, 253 nt
Filed under: uncultured bacterium
Lineage: Bacteria
Description: partial 16S ribosomal RNA
Rfam family: Bacterial small subunit ribosomal RNA
Source: RNAcentral
AACGUAGGAGACAAACGUUAUCCGGAGUUACUGGGCGUAAAGGGCGUGUAGGUGGUUUAGUAAGUCUGGCGUGAAAUUUUUCGGCUUAACCGGGAAAGGUCGUCGGAUACUGCUGAGCUAGAGGACGGUAGAGGCGUGUGGAAUUCCGGGUGUAGUGGUGAAAUGCGUAGAGAUCCGGAGGAACACCAGUGGCGAAGGCGACACGCUGGGCCGUACCUGACGCUAAAGCGCGACAGCAUGGGGAGCAAACGGG